CUUUUGAUGAAUUGUAAUGUUUUUGUUGGGCCGGACAUUGCUUAGAGAAACAACAAGACGUUGCGCAUCCUCAUCGUUGGCUCGAGUCGCACCUGUGUCUUACUUCAGUGUUCAGGAUCAAGUUGUAAGGGACUCUAAGGACUCCGCAUUCAAUCUGCGAGACAUGGUGACGAACACAAGAAAAUCAUUGAGGAAAAAUGCUGCAAGUGCCGGCCCAACCACCAUGGACAUCGAUGCUGGCAAUCAGGC
This 249-nucleotide long non-coding RNA is filed under the name Coccomyxa subellipsoidea. Its description in RNAcentral is "long non-coding RNA (CSUB_LNC000205)". The record is from RNAcentral. Lineage: Eukaryota; Viridiplantae; Chlorophyta; Trebouxiophyceae; Coccomyxaceae.